RNAcentral lists this long non-coding RNA (1426 nucleotides) under Cottoperca gobio. Its description in RNAcentral is "lncRNA (ENSCGOG00000001368.1)". The record is from RNAcentral. Lineage: Eukaryota; Metazoa; Chordata; Actinopteri; Perciformes; Bovichtidae.
ACAGAGAGGGAUUUCUGAGCCUCCCCAUUGGUUCACAGCGAGCAUGAGGCUCCACCCUCUCUAAGAGAGAGGGGGGAGAGAGAAAGAAAGAGGGAGGGGGGAAGUAGGGAGAGUGAAAGUGGAGAGGCAGGCAGGCAGACGUGUUGCAACAGAUGGCUUUACCAGUAGCGGCUCGGUGGCGGCUGUACCAAGGAACUCUGGGACGCUGUUAGACCCAGAACAGAGGUAGAGAAAAGGGAGGGAGGGGUGUAAGUCACAGCGCUGGAACAGAGCAAGAAAAAGAGACCGAGUGAGACUUCUUCUUCCUCCCCCUUCAGGCUACAAACUCACUGUCUUCCUCUGCAGACAGACAGGAAGACAGUGUCAGUGUGAGCACAAGUUUAGUAGCUGAAAGGAGCAACAGUUUUAUGGAGGAGAUGAAUGUGUGAUCUGAGCCUUCAUCCUCUUCCUCCUCUUCCUCCUCAUGCUCCUGCUCCGGGGUCACAGAGGAAAACACCUGCUGACAGCGAGGAGGUCCUGAGGGAGGAGACGCAGCAGGAGCAGUGCGGUAGCAGUAGGACUCCACUACUCUGAGUCUUGAGCUGAGAAACGUGACCUUCAAGUCUCAAGUGUGCGACUCUCUGCAGGUGGACUCGCACGCUUAGCUGACGACAUGACGCUCUAUUCCCGUGCUGGAUCCCAGCAGACACCAGCUUUCUCAGUGAAUAAAAUGUUUCAACAUUUCCAUGAGUCACUUCACAGCAUCACACACUUCUGUGUUGUGUCCUGUUCUCUGUACUGAAGCUGCAGUUCAGCUGAAGAACUGUAAUUAUGGUCUGUAACGGCGCUUAUUGAUGUUUGCUUUAUUGACGGUUCUAUUGACGUCUGAGCUUGUGUGGUCUGACUGACGGCCAUUUGUUGUGUCAGGACAUGACGGAGAUUUAUGGGAAGGGUGUGUGUGCGUGUGUGUGUGUGCGUGUGCGUGUGCGUGCGUGUUCAGGGGCUUUCCCUCUGCUCUGUACUGAACUGUUGAAGGUUUAAGGAUCUGUCUGCAGAUCUUUUAGCUUCUUAGUUUGUGACGAUGAAAAGAAAACUGGAGCUGUGUGUGUGUGUGUGUGUGUGUGUUCUCUCUGACUUUAUUUCCCGUGUUGUCGUUCUGUCUCUUCAGUAUUUGUACGCGUCAUGUGACUCCACAUGAGCUCAGACUUAUUUUUAUGAACAAGAAUGCUUUUCAUAAUUUAAAGUGCUUUUAGGCUCUUUGUCUAAGUAAUGAAUGUGUUUAGUGUCCAUGUUACUAUUUGUGCAGCCUAAAUAAUAAAGCAGUAAGAUAUUAAAAGUUUAGUAUUCAAGUGUUUGUAUCUGGUUAAAUAAAAAAUGUAUUGCCCAUGAAAUAAAUCAUUUAAAAAGCCUAUAUUCACUAAAGCUUUAUUAAUCUACAUAAAUACAA